RNAcentral lists this ribosomal RNA (449 nucleotides) under uncultured bacterium. RNAcentral's name for it is "partial 16S ribosomal RNA". It matches the Rfam family "Bacterial small subunit ribosomal RNA", at positions 354 to 796 of the family's 1533-position model. The record is from RNAcentral.
GUCGAGAAUCUUUCACAAUGGGGGCAACCCUGAUGGAGCGACGCCGCGUGGAGGAUAAGGUCUUCGGAUUGUAAACUCCUGUCAUGCGUGAACAAGGUUGCUUGGAUAAUACCUGAGCAAAUUGAUGGUGGCGCAAGAGGAAGAGACGGCUAACUCUGUGCCAGCAGCCGCGGUAAUACAGAGGUCUCAAGCGUUGUUCGGAAUCACUGGGCGUAAAGGGUGCGUAGGUGGCGUGGCAAGUCAGAUGUGAAAGCCCGGGGCUCAACCUCGGAACUGCAUCCGAUACUGCCAUGCUAGAGUACUGGAGGGGUGACUAGAAUUCUCGGUGUAGCAGUGAAAUGCGUAGAUAUCGAGAGGAAUACCAAAGGCGUAGGCAGGUCACUGGACAGUUACUGACACUGAGGCACGAAGGCCAGGGGAGCGAACGGGAUUAGAAACCCCUGUAGUCC